Molecule: ribosomal RNA, 1004 nt
Filed under: Bacillus sp. (in: firmicutes)
Lineage: Bacteria; Bacillati; Bacillota; Bacilli; Caryophanales; Bacillaceae
Description: bacterial SSU rRNA
Rfam family: Bacterial small subunit ribosomal RNA
Source: RNAcentral
GGAUCUUCCGCAAUGGACGAAAGUCUGACGGAGCAACGCCGCGUGAGUGAUGAAGGUUUUCGGAUCGUAAAGCUCUGUUGUUAGGGAAGAACAAGUGCCGUUCAAAUAGGGCGGCACCUUGACGGUACCUAACCAGAAAGCCACGGCUAACUACGUGCCAGCAGCCGCGGUAAUACGUAGGUGGCAAGCGUUGUCCGGAAUUAUUGGGCGUAAAGGGCUCGCAGGCGGUUUCUUAAGUCUGAUGUGAAAGCCCCCGGCUCAACCGGGGAGGGUCAUUGGAAACUGGGGAACUUGAGUGCAGAAGAGGAGAGUGGAAUUCCACGUGUAGCGGUGAAAUGCGUAGAGAUGUGGAGGAACACCAGUGGCGAAGGCGACUCUCUGGUCUGUAACUGACGCUGAGGAGCGAAAGCGUGGGGAGCGAACAGGAUUAGAUACCCUGGUAGUCCACGCCGUAAACGAUGAGUGCUAAGUGUUAGGGGGUUUCCGCCCCUUAGUGCUGCAGCUAACGCAUUAAGCACUCCGCCUGGGGAGUACGGUCGCAAGACUGAAACUCAAAGGAAUUGACGGGGGCCCGCACAAGCGGUGGAGCAUGUGGUUUAAUUCGAAGCAACGCGAAGAACCUUACCAGGUCUUGACAUCCUCUGACAAUCCUAGAGAUAGGACGUCCCCUUCGGGGGCAGAGUGACAGGUGGUGCAUGGUUGUCGUCAGCUCGUGUCGUGAGAUGUUGGGUUAAGUCCCGCAACGAGCGCAACCCUUGAUCUUAGUUGCCAGCAUUCAGUUGGGCACUCUAAGGUGACUGCCGGUGACAAACCGGAGGAAGGUGGGGAUGACGUCAAAUCAUCAUGCCCCUUAUGACCUGGGCUACACACGUGCUACAAUGGGCAGAACAAAGGGCAGCGAAACCGCGAGGUUAAGCCAAUCCCACAAAUCUGUUCUCAGUUCGGAUCGCAGUCUGCAACUCGACUGCGUGAAGCUGGAAUCGCUAGUAAUCGCGGAUCAGCAU